Schizosaccharomyces japonicus yFS275 is the source of this 94-nucleotide transfer RNA. It matches the Rfam family "tRNA". Rfam says of the family: Transfer RNA (tRNA) molecules are approximately 80 nucleotides in length. Their secondary structure includes four short double-helical elements and three loops (D, anti-codon, and T loops). Further hydrogen bonds mediate the characteristic L-shaped molecular structure. tRNAs have two regions of fundamental functional importance: the anti-codon, which is responsible for specific mRNA codon recognition, and the 3' end, to which the tRNAs corresponding amino acid is attached (by aminoacyl-tRNA synthetases). tRNAs cope with the degeneracy of the genetic code in two manners: having more than one tRNA (with a specific anti-codon) for a particular amino acid; and 'wobble' base-pairing, i.e. permitting non-standard base-pairing at the 3rd anti-codon position. Lineage: Eukaryota; Fungi; Ascomycota; Schizosaccharomycetes; Schizosaccharomycetales; Schizosaccharomycetaceae. The record is from Rfam.
GGCGAAGUGGCCGAGUGGUCUAUGGCGCUAGCUUCAGGAAACUGAGCGUGCUAGUUCACAUAUGUGAGCGUGGGUUCGAACCCCACCUUCGUCA